Molecule: ribosomal RNA, 4131 nt
Filed under: Triticum aestivum (bread wheat)
Lineage: Eukaryota; Viridiplantae; Streptophyta; Magnoliopsida; Poales; Poaceae
Description: partial small subunit ribosomal RNA
Source: RNAcentral
AUGGCCGAGACCGCCCUCGGUGCCGCGCAAUGGGUGGUGCGCAAGGCGCUAGUCCCCGUUGCGGAUGGCGUGCUGGAGGCUUGGGCGGCCAGCAGGACAUUUGGUCUCAACAUCCAGGCCCUCAGAGCGGAACUGGAGAAGGUGCAGGCCACGCUCGAAAUAGCUGCCACCAAGGAGCUCCCCGGGCUUGCCACGGAGAAGAUGCUGCAGAAGCUGUGGGACUCGGCGCACAAUGCCGAAGACUUGCUGGACGAGCUGGACUACUUCCGCAUCCACGACGAGCUUCACGGCACGUACGAUGCUGCCGACCAGCCCGGCGACGGUGUCCUUCGUGACCUCGCCUGUGAUGCUCGCCACACAAUCAAAGAUCUUGGCAAACUGAUCAACUGUUUCCCAUGGCAGCGUGCUGAGCUCCAGCAGAGGUCAUGUGGCGAUUCGUUCUCAGCAUCAGACACCAACCAGAAGGUCAGCGGAUGCAUGUCCAGCCUCGGUAAACUGCUCCUUUCCUCAUGUUCUCCACAUCCACAUGUUCGUGGUGAUGAAGAUCGUGGCAAUGCGCAAGAAGAACCAAUGCCUGAGUUUAAUAGGGCUGAUUUCUCCCAAAGGAUGAGGGACACUGUAGAGCAACUAAAGCUUAUGCGUAAUGAUGUUAAGGAUAUUCUGCAGACUUGUGGCCCUAGAACUGUCCUAGACAUUGCUCAGCGUCGUGCCACCACCACACCUCAGAGUGCAGAGCCAAAACUGUAUGGGAGGGACCAUGUCAUGAAUAAUUUGAUACAUGAUAUCACCGAGGGUCAAUACUGUGACAAGGGUCUAACUGUGCUUCCGGUUAUUGGUCCGGGGGGAAUGGGGAAGACAACUAUGAUACAACACAUAUAUAACAACCAACAAGUGCAGAAUCAUUUUCCAGUCAGGAUUUGGAUAUGUGUGUCGUUCAAUUUCAACCUGGGUAAGGUGCUAGAACAGAUUAAAGAAGAUACCCUUACGGUGGAAGGUGAAAAUGGGUGUAGUACAACACAAGAGCUGAUUGAACACAGAUUGAAACACAAAAGGUUCUUACUUGUAUUGGAUGAUAUAUGGCAGUUUAAUGAUGUGGAUGACUGGAAAAAACUAUUAUUGAUACUCGGCAAGUCACAAGAAAAGGGUUCCAUGAUUCUAGUCACAACUCGGCAAAAAGAAAUAGCAGACCAGGUUAAGAAAAGUGCAGAUCCAAAAGAACUGAACGGUUUAGAACCUGGAGAGUUUAAGAAGUUAUUCCUUGUAUAUGUCUUUGAUGUUGAGAAAUGUCCAGGGGAUAAACGGUUUUUGCUUGACACUGGAGAUAAGAUAAUGGGAAAACUAAAGGGUUCCCCUCUUGCAGCAAAGACCGUUGGUAGAUUACUGAGGACAGACCCUAGUUUGGCUCAUUGGAGAAGGGUCCUAAACAGUAAACAAUGGGCGAAACAGACCAAUGGAAUUAUGCUUGCCUUGGAGCUUAGCUAUGGCUUUCUCCCUUUCCAUUUGCAACGGUGUUUUUCCUAUUCUGCAUUAUUUCCUGAAGAUUACCGUUUCAGAAGCCGUGAGCUCAUCAGCCUAUGGAUCGGACUAGAUAUUUUGACACCUUCCGAUCAAAACCCAACCUUUGAAGGCAUAGGUCUGAGCAUUUUGAAUGAUUUAGUCAUCCAUGGAUUUUUCAGAGAAUAUAAAACUGAUGGUGGUCUCCGAUAUGUUAUGCAUGAUUUACUGCAUGAGUUGGCAUUGAAGGUUGCAUCACAUGAUUGUCUUCGUUUUCGUCUCCCUGAUGUUGGAUCGGUAGAAAUUAAGCCAUCCACCCGACACUUGUCUAUAAGCAUAGAGAACUUGGGUGAAUAUAAUGGUCAAAAAUUAAAGAGGGAAUUGGAAAAACUGAAGACAAGAUUGAAGGUUGAACAUUUGCAAACACUGAUGUUAUUUGGAGCAAUGGAUGAAGGUUUUGCUAAGAUAUUUGGUGAUUUUCUCAGGGAAGCAAAUGCUCUUCGUGUUCUUUAUUUGCCCCUCCUGAAGUAUCCCGUGGAGUCCAUGGUACAUAAUUUUUCAGGACUUGUCCACCUACGAUUCCUAUGUGUAGGGUGUUUACCAAUUAACAUCUCUAAAUUUUAUCAUCUAAGGGUUCUAGAUCUUAAGUCAUGGUCUGGCAGUGGUGAUUUUCCUGAAGACACGAGCAACCUUGCAAAAUUGUGCCAUUAUUAUACCCCAAGAGAUGAUAAGCUUCAUUAUGAUAUAUGUAAUGUGGGAAAACUUCAGCUCUUGGAAAAGUUGAAGGUAUUUCGGGUCAAUAAAAAAAAUAAAGGAUUUGAACCAAAGCAACUAGAGCCAUUGACCAAGCUAUGGGAGCUUGGCAUCUACAACCUUGAGAAAAUACAUACAAAAAAAGAAGCAGCUCAAGCAAAACUGAUUGAGAAAAAAUAUUUGAGGAGGUUAACAUUGGAUUGGGAUAGUAAGCGAUCUAGUGAUGAGCCUGGUGUGGAAACAAUGGUUCUUGAGUGCUUUCGACCACAUGAAAAUCUUGAAGUGUUGUGCAUUAGAGGGCACAAAGGCCCCACUUGUCCAACAUGGCUGGGUGAUGAGCUUGCUGUUGAAGCACUACAAUCUCUUUGUCUUGUUGGUGUUUCUUGGAAGGUUUUCCCUUCUUUACAGAACCUGGGGGAUCUUUGUGAGCUUGAGAUACAAGACUGUCCAGAAUUCUCGUCCGUGAUUCCCGCCUCCUGGAUUGAGAGUUUGCACCGCAUCACGAUUGAAUGUGUCAAGCUACUAAAGAGGUUUGCAUACUCAAGAUCAUCGAAUGGAGCACAACUGGAAAUCAUUGGAUGGGGUGAUCUGCAAAGCUUAGACCAAGUGUUAGUUUUCGAUAAAGAAACAGGUCUUGAGAAGCUGACACUCGAGAGAUGCCCACCUUUGGAGUUGAAGCACCUUCUGAUGCUAACCUCGCUGAAGACACUGAUUGUAAGGCAUUCAGAUGGUCUGGCUGGUCUGGCUGGUCUGGCUGGACCACUAGGAGGUCUGGGUGAUGUGGAAUGGCAGCUCCCUGUUGAGCACAUCGAGAUCUGCCACUUAAAUGGUACUAAUAGUUGGAAUGAAUUGACAGAGCUCUUCCCACACCUCCCAAAGCUCUCCAAAUUGGAGAUACGGGAUUGUAAAAACAUAAAACAGCUGGUAGUGGGGGUGGAUCUGCGACAAACAGCAUCAGAGAUGGGGGGAGGUGAAAUAACAGCAGCAACAGAGGAAGAGGGCGAUGGAGUGCUGCUCUUCCCAGCUCAUCUCUGUGACUCACUACAGAAAUUGAAGUUCCUUUUCUGCCCAGAGCUGGUCCUGGUGAACCCGCCAACUCUUGUUCCUGGAGGAGGAUGGCUCCAAGCCUUGCGAUCCCUCCAGAGAUUAAGCAUAAAGUAUUGCCCAAAGUUUCUAUCCACCUUCUCGUUUUCCAGUCACAUUUUCCCUUCCUCCCUGCAAUUCCUGGAGCUUACAAAAUUAGAAGGGAUGGGGACACUAGAGCCUCUCUCAAACCUUUCUUCUCUUACCAGAUUAGUAUUGGAAUUUUGUGGAAAGGAUCUGAAAUGUCAGGGAUUGCAGUCUCUCCUUACCACCGGGGGCCAGCUCAAUGAAUUGGAAGUCAGGGGAAGCCAUAUAUUCUUUGUUAAUUGGAAUCCAAAUCCCAGACGGACUUUGGAGGAUGUUGAAGGAGGAGAAGAGCAGCCAACACAGCUUGUUUCAUCCACACUGCGGAAGCUUUGCACAGAUGACACAGCAGGGCUCCUUGCUGCACCAAUCUGCAGCUUCCUUUCUUCCUCUCUCACCAAGCUGAAACUUCAUGGGUAUGGGCAUGAAGGGAUGGAGCGCUUCAGCAAGGAGCAAGAGGACGCCCUUCAGCUCCUCUCCUCCCUCCAGAAACUUGAGUUUAGGCAUUUCCGCCAUCUUCAGCAAAUCCCUGCAGGGCUAUGCAACCUUACCAGCCUCAAGAUAUUAUCAAUCAACCACUGUCCUGCCGUCUCGUCAUUGCCCAGCGAUGGCCUCCCCAAAUCACUGGAAAAGCUAGAUGUCUACGACUGCAGCGAGGUGCUAAAACGGCAGUGCAGGUGGAUGUUGGGAACCAUCCCCAAAAUCAUAAGAGGAUGA